CGAAAGCCUGACGCAGCAACACCGCGUGCGGGAUGAAGGCCUUUGGGUUGUAAACCGCUGUCAGCAGGGAAUAAAUUGACUGUACCUGCAGAGGAAGCACCGGCUAACUACGUGCCAGCAGCCGCGGUAAGACGUAGGGUGCAAGCGUUGUCCGGAAUUAUUGGGCGUAAAGAGUUCGUAGGCGGUUGCCUAAGUCUGGUGUUAAAGCCUGUCGCUCAACGACAGCAUGGCAUUGGAAACUGGGCAGCUAGAGUGUGGUAGAGGUCACGGGAAUUCCUGGUGUAGCGGUGAAAUGCGUAGAUAUCAGGAGGAACACCGGUGGCGAAAGCGCGUGACUGGGCCACAACUGACGCUGAGGAACGAAAGCCAGGGGAGCGAAAGGGAUUAGAUACCCCUGUAGUCCUGGCCGUAAACGAUGGAUACUAGGUGUUGGAGGAUUCCGACCCCCUCAGUGCCGUAGCUAACGCGAUAAGUAUCCCGCCUGGGGAGUACGACCGCAAGGUUG
This 505-nucleotide ribosomal RNA is filed under the name uncultured bacterium. RNAcentral's name for it is "bacterial SSU rRNA". It matches the Rfam family "Bacterial small subunit ribosomal RNA", at positions 376 to 896 of the family's 1533-position model. The record is from RNAcentral.